ACACAUGCAAGUCGUAACAAGGUAACCGUAAGAAUGCUUCUCGCUGACGAGCGGCUGACGGGUGAGUAAUACUUAGGAAUCUACCUAGUAGUGGGGGAUAGCUCGGGGAAACUCGAAUUAAUACCGCAUACGACCUACGGGAGAAAGGGGGCAACUUGUUGCUCUCGCUAUUAGAUGAGCCUAAGUCGGAUUAGCUAGAUGGUGGGGUAAAGGCCUACCAUGGCGACGAUCUGUAGCUGGUCUGAGAGGAUGAUCAGCCACACCGGGACUCGAGACACCGGUCUCUGACUCUCCUUACGGGAGGCCAGCCAUGUGGGGAAAUAUUGGACCACGGACGGCCAACCCUGAUCCAGCCAUGCCGAGAUGUGUGAGAUAUGGCCUUUUUGGUCUUAAAGCAACUUUAAGCCAGUGAAGAAGACUCCAUUGGUUAAUACCCCAUAGACGAUGACAUUAGCUGCAGAAUACGCACCGGCUAACUCUGUGCCAGCAGCCGCGGUAAUACAGAGGGGUGCAAGCGUUAAUCGGAAUUACUGGGCGUAAAGCGAGCGUAGGUGGCUUGAUAAGUCAGAUGUGAAAGCCCCGGGCUUAACCUGGGAACGGCAUCUGAUACUGUUAGGCUAGAGUAGGUGAGAGGAAGGUAGAAUUCCAGGUGUAGCGGUGAAAUGCGUAGAGAUCUGGAGGAAUACCGAUGGCGAAGGCAGCCUUCUGGCAUCAUACUGACACUGAGGUUCGAAAGCGUGGGUAGCAAACAGGAUUAGAUACCCUGGUAGUCCACGCCGUAAACGAUGUCUACUAGUCGUUGGGUCCCUUGAGGACUUAGUGACGCAGCUAACGCAAUAAGUAGACCGCCUGGGGAGUACGGCCGCAAGGUUAAAACUCAAAUGAAUUGACGGGGGCCCGCACAAGCGGUGGGAGCAUGUGGUUUAAUUCGAUGCAACGCGAAGAACCAUUACCUGGUCUUGACAUAUCUAGAAAUCCUGCAGAGAUGCGGGAGUGCCUUCGGGAAUUAGAAUACAGGUGCUGCAUGGCUGUCGUCAGCUCGUGUCGUGAGAUGUUGGGUUAAGUUCCGCCAACCAACCCCACCCCUGGUCCUUAGUUUACUAGCGAUUUGGAGCGGGAAGUCGUAGGGGAUACAUGCCCAGUGACAAACUUGGAGGAAGGCGGGGACGACGUCAAGGUCAUCAUGGGCCCUUACGAUCCAGGGCUACACACGUGCUACAAUGGUAGGUACAGAGGGCAGCUACACAGCGAUGUGAUGCGAAUCUCAAAAAGCCUAUCGUAGUCCAGAUUGGAGUCUGCAACUCGACUCCAUGAAGUAGGAAUCGCUAGUAAUCGCGGAUCAGAAUGCCGCGGUGAAUACGUUCCCGGGCCUUGUACACACCGCCCGUCACACCAUGGGAGUUGAUUGCACCAGAAGU
Molecule: ribosomal RNA, 1418 nt
Filed under: Psychrobacter pulmonis
Lineage: Bacteria; Pseudomonadati; Pseudomonadota; Gammaproteobacteria; Moraxellales; Moraxellaceae
Description: 16S ribosomal RNA
Rfam family: Bacterial small subunit ribosomal RNA
Source: RNAcentral